GUGUCUCUUGGGCGAUGUCCUGUUCAUCUCUGGGCCUUAAGUCCCUAGCCUGAGGCAUUAAAUAACUUAAAAAAUGAAAUACUCUUAAGAAUACCAUUGAGGCCAUGCUAGUUACAGAAAUGCAGAUUACAGCGGAAACAUGAUGCUUGCCAGCUAGAAGGGGAGAAAUUCAAAAUGGUAAACGGAGUAGUCUCCUCACAGGGCUCUAUGAGGGCUUGACAAACAACACGGAGCCAAAAUAAAGUUUUUAAAAGUAUAUUCCAGCAAAAGAGUAUUGACCGUGUGCUUUCAAGAAUUUUCCCAGCCAUCAGGAAGAAAAACGUUAAGGGCUGGAACUUUAGGAGGACGAAGGCAACCAGGGAAUCCAUUCUACACACUGAAAACUGCGCGUAGCUGGGCGAACACUGGGCCCCCCAGAAAGAAAAGAGAAGAAAAAAAACAAUCGGUGUUAUGUGAAAAUGAAGGCAAAGCCGCUCUAAGAACUGCUUUGGUCUGGCCAGACAACAGAUGUUUUAAAGGAUCAAAGUUACUUUGCAGCAGAGCUGCCGGGAGAGUGAAGAUGAAAUGUUUCAGUCUUGAGAACUAGCAGGUUCCUUGCUUUUUUCAUUUCUCAGCACUGCAAAUAUGUAAGGCCGAGGCCAUCCAAAGUCAAGAGCAGAUCCAACCAUGCAGGUUAAUCUCGAUGCUUCUGGGCUACGGGGGACUUGCUCCUUCUGGCCUUCGGGUUAUGGUGGAAGAGGCCAAGGUGCAGACUGAGUGAACGGCUGCCCCAGGCUCACAUGUGUGGCAGCCGAACCCAGGCCAGAGGUCAAGCCUUCCGGCUGCGUGGCCUGGGCUCCCGUCCCUACGUACCCUGCUCCGUGGCUACACAAGACGGAACACCAGGCCUCUGGCCCGCCUCAGCCGGAGACAAGGGAGAAAUAAAGAAAAGGGAACAACAAAUGCAAUUGCCCAGCCCCUGAGUGGUCAGACUUUCCUUUGCUAUUUAUUGUCAGAACUUCGAGCCCUGCUUGAAAGCCGGCCCUGCCUCAUCCCGACUUCUGCUUCAUCUCCCAGUGAAGUCAUAAAGAUGGGCUUACGCUCUGUCUAUUGACACAGAGAGCCUGUGAGUCACAAAUUCAACAGGAUGACUUUGCUGCAGUGUGAUUGACUGGAAAAUGUGCCCUCAUCUGAACGUUUUUUUUUU
Canis lupus familiaris (dog) is the source of this 1186-nucleotide long non-coding RNA. RefSeq lists it as uncharacterized. The record is from RefSeq and is a predicted model, not a curated record. NCBI's taxonomy places the organism in Eukaryota, Metazoa, Chordata, Mammalia, Carnivora, Canidae. The transcript has 3 exons.